RNAcentral lists this ribosomal RNA (118 nucleotides) under Scophthalmus maximus (turbot). The record is from RNAcentral. Lineage: Eukaryota; Metazoa; Chordata; Actinopteri; Pleuronectiformes; Scophthalmidae.
GCUUACGGCCACACCGCCUGGUUCACGCCCGAUCUCGUUUGAUCUCGGAAGCUAAGAUAGGUGGGCCUGGUUAGUACUUGGAUGGGAGACCGCCUGGGAAUACCAGGUGUUGUAAGAU